AUGAAGGACGUUAUACGGGGCGUGUGCGGCGGAGACAGCGCGGCGAGGCGAGGCAGUGGCGGUGGUUGUCCGGCUGUCGUGCCUCGCGCGGGGAGGAUGGACGACGCUCGCCGGGGCGUGUACGGCGGAGACGGCUUCUGCCAAAGUGGAGCAGGAGAGGACCGGAAGUCAAGGAGGCAGGGUGAGUACGCUAUGCACAGCGCCGCCUUCAUCCUCCACCUCCUUCUAAAGCGCGCGCUCGCCUCGGGCGCUGGCGGUGGCGCGGUGGUGCUCGCCCUCGCGCACCCGUACUCGCACCACGACCGCGUCCUCCGCAAGAUGGUAAGCGCCCCGGCCGCUCACCCGCAUUUCCUCGGCAACAGGGCCAUCCAUGCGGACCACGCGGCGGCGGUGACGCUCUUCGGGCACCCCCGCGGCCGGCUGAGCCUGGCCAUCUAUGAGGACAUGCGGGCGCCACCGGCGUUCCUCAUCGAGCUGCCCAUGCUGGCGGCCGGGCUGCAUAGGGGGGAUGGCCACGGGACCUUGAAGCUGGUGCUGGAGAGCGACACCCGCAGCGCGCGGCGACCACUCCUGUCCAACGACGAGUGGCACGUGCUGCGGCUGCUGCGCGGCGUCUCCACGAGCGCCGGGGUGCCGCCGCCGCCGCCUGCUGACGGCUCCAAUUUCCCCGACGGCGUCAUACUCCCGUGUCUGAUUAGGAUUGAAGAGUGCUGA
RNAcentral lists this ribosomal RNA (714 nucleotides) under Triticum aestivum (bread wheat). RNAcentral describes it as "partial small subunit ribosomal RNA". The record is from RNAcentral. Lineage: Eukaryota; Viridiplantae; Streptophyta; Magnoliopsida; Poales; Poaceae.